This 1155-nucleotide long non-coding RNA is filed under the name Marmota monax (woodchuck). The record is from RNAcentral. Lineage: Eukaryota; Metazoa; Chordata; Mammalia; Rodentia; Sciuridae.
GAAAGAUAAUGGGAUCACUAUGUAUCUGGAAAAUCUUUAAUGUCUCACUAAGUUGAAUUUUGGGUAAUUGGAAGUCACUGAUGGUUUUUAUAAUAAUGAAGUGGAAUGAUGAAAGUCAUGUUUUAGGUGAGUACGGUUGUAAAAUUCAGAAUAGAUUGCAUUGUGGCAGACACCAAAGACAAGGAUUAUUAUAGGAUACCAUGCUUUCCUGAUGUUCCUGUUACCAAAUUUGCUUCUCCUUCUUGGCAGAUAAUGAGGUUAUCUUGUACCAUCAUAUAUUUGGAGAUUGUGUUGUCCUGCAGGUUAUGAGAGUAGUGUUCCCAUGUUACACUGCCUUUUUCCUAAAUCCUGUGUUGGUUCUUCUCUGUAUCUCUUCCUGCCUACCAUCUUCUCCCCAGCUGUAGUCCUGUGGAAAAGGAAUUGUAACACCUCAGCAUACUUCCUUUAGGAAAGUGAGAGAUUGUUGUUUUUUUGUUUAUUUUUGUUUAUAUUUGUUUUUAUAUAUCUCUCCUCUCGGCUUAUCUAUAUUUUUCAGUGGCUAUCUUCCUCUAUAGGGACAGGCUCUUUUCAGUAUGCCAACUCACACAUGCAUAGCUCUCUCUGGUUUAUGAUAAUCUGUCUCUCCCCUGACUUCUUCAGAUUUGGGGGUGUAAAGGCUUCUUGCUCUGACUAUUCCCUAGCUGCUUCCAUAUUUUUAGUUGGUUUUCCUUAACCCAACCCUACCUUUGUAAUGGUCCCUUAGUUGAAUCACUUAGAUAUAUAUACUCCAGAAGUCUGAUGGUUUAAGCAGAAUGUAAGCACUCUUUUUCUUUCUGUGUCUGCUUUUCCACAGAAGUAUAGUAGAGACCAUGUAGCAAUAAAAAUCACUUUCAUAUUAUGUUGCUUGUUUUUUUGGUUUUGAAACUGAUAAAUGGUUAAAUUUGCCAUAUUAGAAAAACAGAAAAAAGGCAAGAGGGCAGAUAAAAGACACCUAGACUUGCCUUCUUUUCUACAAGAUAGAACUAGAGCAACAGGUGUGUGGCUAAAUGUCAAGGUAGAUGGCUGUGGGAGAGCACUGGAAUUCAACAGUGUAAAAAGCAGACAGUAGAACCCAGAGAUUUUGAAUAAUAGAAUCGCAAGUGAAACAGUGCCUAUUGAAUGGCAGCAUGGUCAGAG